GUAUUAAAGGUGCUGCCUGCCCAGUGAAACAUUCAACGGCCGCGGUAUCCUAACCGUGCAAAGGUAGCGUAAUCACUUGUCUUUUAAAUAAAGACUCGUAUGAAAGGCUGAAUGAGGACAAAACUGUCUCUUAUAGUUGACCAGUGAAACUGAUCUUCAAGUACAAAAGCUUGAAUAAACACAUAAGACGAGAAGACCCUGUGGAGCUUAAAACCAACCUAUAAGCCCAAUAGCCUGAGUUUUAAGUUGGGGCGACUUCGGAACAAAAUAAAACUUCCGAGCACAGAGCCAACCACUCCCCCAAGACCAACAAGUCAAAGGACCUCGCUGACCCAGUCACACUGAUCAACGAACCAAGUUACCCCAGGGAUAACAGCGCCAUCUUCUUCAAGAGUCCAUAUCGACAAGAAGGUUUACGACCUCGAUGUUGGAUCAGGACACCCAAAUGGUGCAGCAA
This 457-nucleotide ribosomal RNA is filed under the name Pygmaeascincus timlowi (Dwarf litter-skink). RNAcentral's name for it is "partial 16S ribosomal RNA". It matches the Rfam family "Bacterial large subunit ribosomal RNA", at positions 1843 to 2561 of the family's 2925-position model. Lineage: Eukaryota; Metazoa; Chordata; Lepidosauria; Squamata; Scincidae. The record is from RNAcentral.